RNAcentral lists this ribosomal RNA (372 nucleotides) under uncultured organism. RNAcentral's name for it is "bacterial SSU rRNA". It matches the Rfam family "Bacterial small subunit ribosomal RNA", at positions 527 to 897 of the family's 1533-position model. The record is from RNAcentral.
CGGGGGUGCAAGCGUUGUUCGGAUUUAUUGGGCGUAAAGCGCGUGUAGGCGGUUUGUUAAGUCUGAUGUGAAAGCCCUGGGCUCAACCCAGGAAGUGCAUUGGAUACUGGCAGACUUGAAUACGGGAGAGGGUAGUGGAAUUCCUGGUGUAGGAGUGAAAUCCGUAGAUAUCAGGAGGAACACCGGUGGCGAAGGCGGCUACCUGGACCGAUAUUGACGCUGAGACGCGAAAGCGUGGGUAGCAAACAGGGUUAGAUACCCUGGUAGUCCACGCCGUAAACGAUGAGUACUAGGUGUUGCGGGUAUUGACCCCUGCAGUGCCGCAGCUAACGCAUUAAGCACUCCGCCUGGGAAGUACGGUCGCAAGACUAA